GUGUCAGCCGCCGCGGUAAGACGGAGGGUGCAAGCGUUGUUCGGAAUCACUGGGCGUAAAGAGCGUGUAGGCGGCUGAAUAAGUCGGAUGUGAAAGCCCGGAGCUCAACUCCGGAAGUGCAUUCGAAACUGUUCGGCUCGAGUACGGGAGAGGGAAGUGGAAUUCCUGGUGUAGAGGUGAAAUUCGUAGAUAUCAGGAGGAACACCGGUGGCGAAGGCGGCUUCCUGGACCGAUACUGACGCUGAGACGCGAAAGCGUGGGGAGCAAACAGGAUUAGAUACCCUGGUAGUCCACGCCGUAAACGGUGAGCACUAGGUGUAGCGGGUAUUGACCCCUGCUGUGCCGCAGCUAACGCAUUAAGUGCUCCGCCUGGGGAGUACGGCCGCAAGGCUAAA
RNAcentral lists this ribosomal RNA (395 nucleotides) under uncultured bacterium. RNAcentral describes it as "bacterial SSU rRNA". It matches the Rfam family "Bacterial small subunit ribosomal RNA", at positions 505 to 898 of the family's 1533-position model. The record is from RNAcentral.